This 21-nucleotide non-coding RNA is filed under the name Caenorhabditis elegans. The record is from RNAcentral. Lineage: Eukaryota; Metazoa; Nematoda; Chromadorea; Rhabditida; Rhabditidae.
UUAAGAGAUUGAAAAAUAUAA